AUUAAGACACCUGUUCAUCUCUUUACAAGGACAAUAAGUAACAAUUACAGUACAUGUAGGGUUAACAAUGAGUACAUUUGAAGAUUACAAUACCACGUGUAAUGGUUAUGAUGACAAUCGUCAGCCGCUAGGUGCUGAUAUUGUUGCUGGAAUGAUGCAUGUUUACAAUAACAAACCGCUGAAGGAGCUUCAUCUGCUCGAUGCCGGAUGUGGGACCGGUAACUAUACAAAAUCUUUAAUCAAUUAUGGCGUCGGUAAAGUAAACGCUAAUGGACGCUUCCAC
Ruditapes philippinarum (Manila clam) is the source of this 283-nucleotide long non-coding RNA. RefSeq lists it as uncharacterized. The record is from RefSeq and is a predicted model, not a curated record. The transcript has 3 exons. NCBI's taxonomy places the organism in Eukaryota, Metazoa, Mollusca, Bivalvia, Venerida, Veneridae.